AUGGUUAUGAUGAAUAUUAAAUAAUCGGACAUAGUACGCUAAGGUUGUAUUGUCUAAAGGGAAACAGCCCAGAACAAGAGUUUAAGGUUCCAAAUUUAUUGUUAAGUGAAAUUAAGGAUGUUUCUGUAAAAAACGGCCAGGAAAUUGGCUUAGAAGCGGCCAUUUUUUGAAGAUCUCGUAAAAGAGCACUGGUUUAGUAUAUUUUAUACGUGAAUAGUAGCACCGAAGAUUUAACGGAUCUAAACAAUAUACCGACACCUUGUCCAUAAAAAGGAUGAGCUUGUAGACAGCUCGUAUUUUUAUGGGGUAGCAGAACGUUGGGUAAAUAACACGGUUUAUUGUUUUUAACAAUAAAUAUAAGAUAACCCAAGUGAUAAUGCUGACAUGAGUAACGAAAAAGGGGUUAUACCCUGCCUAAAGCUUAUGGUAUUUUAAAAUAAGUAACGGCCUCUAAGUUUACCAACCUAAAGGAUUAAACGAUGAGAAAAUCUUUUAGUUACUUAGUAACAACUUCCUUCUUAUGUAACCAAGUCACCUUGCGAGGGGUUUGCUUGGAAAUAUUAUUGCCAAGUACCGGCGGAAGGCGGGCAUAAGAAAAGUUGAGGGAGGUUCUGGAAAAACAGUGACAAACCUGCUUCCGGUAGUACGGAAGAAAGGGGGAAAACAAAACCGUACCUAAAUACCACCUCAGGUAAGCUAGUAGAGAAUACGAAGGCGUUUGAGUGAACAAUCAUUAAGGAACUCGGCAAACUAACUACCGUAACUUCGGAAUAAGGAGUGCCAUUCCUCUUCAUUAAUAUGAGGUAAAGAAUAGGAAGCAUGGAAUAGUGUUGUACGACUGUUUAAUUAAAACAAAGCACUUCGCAAUAAGAUAAUAAAUCAAAGUAUUGAGUGUGAAUUCUGCCCGAUGUCGGCCGGUUAACGGAUUUACUAAGUUGACUAAUAUAAGCUUGGUUUUGAAGGAAACCCCGAUCAAUGGCGGUCUUACCUAUGAGGAUCCUAAG
This 1004-nucleotide non-coding RNA is filed under the name Blumeria hordei DH14. Its description in RNAcentral is "Blumeria graminis f. sp. hordei DH14 Bacterial large subunit ribosomal RNA". It matches the Rfam family "Bacterial large subunit ribosomal RNA", at positions 960 to 1955 of the family's 2925-position model. Lineage: Eukaryota; Fungi; Ascomycota; Leotiomycetes; Helotiales; Erysiphaceae. The record is from Rfam by way of RNAcentral.